This is a long non-coding RNA of Folsomia candida, 496 nucleotides long. RefSeq lists it as uncharacterized. The transcript is spliced from 2 exons. The record is from RefSeq and is a predicted model, not a curated record. Lineage: Eukaryota; Metazoa; Arthropoda; Collembola; Entomobryomorpha; Isotomidae.
GCAAAAUUGGGGUUAUUAUGAUCAGGCUGGAUAAGUGAUGGAGUCAAAAAUUUGCUGCAUUAGUCACCAAAAUGUGUUCCCUCCAACGAGUUCUCUGGAUCUAAGGAUAAAUUUUACUAUCGGUGAAGAUUAAAAACAAAUGAGGAGGACUGGACAGGAGCAAGUUUCUUUGCCUGACUCACUUUCCUUCUCGUCCAAAUACUAGUAAGCAAGCAUCACCACCAGACAAGACCAGCGAGCGAGUAGUAAAUGACCCCACCCCGGUUCAGUAUUCGCUCCCGAUGAAGAAGAAACCAUCCGCUACCCGCUUUUUCAUGUUCGAUGCCUACCCGACUUUCACCAGACUUUCACCCGCAAGGAAGUAAUUCGGUGGUGGUGGUCAUGUCAUCCUAGAACCAGCAUGUGUAGUAAAAGUAUGCGUGUGCAAGUAGACGGCCUUGUUUAUAUCUAUGAAAAUGUUGUAUUAAACGUCAAUCAAUGACAACCAUUCAAUGUA